GUGACGAAAAAUGCUACAAAAGUGCCGGAAUUUUACCCCGCCUUGCCACCCACAGACAGCACUGCCCUAAGCUUCUGCUAUAAUCACAAUAAAACUACACGAAUUGAGCGAAUCGCUAUCACAGCAGCCUUUUUUUUUCCUCAUUGAACUGUCAAAACACAACACAACAGUUUUUGGAAAGAGAAACGAUUUUUAUUGGCUUGAUCACGCUCCCGAACUGCAGAGUAGACAGAUAGGACAGGUUAAUUUCACAUUGCCUUUUAUUGCUCCAGCUUCAACAGGCAUCAUAGUAAAUACAGGUUAAUCCCGCAUUGCCUUCCACCGCUCCACCGACAGCAGGCAUUCACAUCAAUAUUAUUAUAUACUACACAUACUUUUAACAUGAAUAUAUAUUUAGAUGUACAUUAUAAAAUUAAGUGAAUAACC
Molecule: long non-coding RNA, 426 nt
Organism: Toxorhynchites rutilus septentrionalis
Lineage: Eukaryota; Metazoa; Arthropoda; Insecta; Diptera; Culicidae
Exons: 4
Source: RefSeq, a predicted model, not a curated record